GUGCUCACUUUGGCAGCACAUAUACUAAAAUUGGAAUGACACAACUGAUGAACUUACACUUGAUGAUGAUUUUUUUUUUCUUUUUUUUGUGGUACCAGGUACCAGGUACCAGAAGAUUAGCAUGGCCCUUGCACAGGAUUACAUGCAAAUUCAUGAAACAUUCCAUAUUUUU
This 172-nucleotide small nuclear RNA is filed under the name Phocoena sinus (vaquita). The record is from RNAcentral. Lineage: Eukaryota; Metazoa; Chordata; Mammalia; Artiodactyla; Phocoenidae.